AGCGCAGGCGGAGCGACAAGCGGUCUGUACAAUGCCGGGGCCUAACCCCGGACCUGCAGACCGGACUGCCGUUCUUGAGUCGUUCAGAGGCUGGCGGAAUUCCUGGUGUAGCGGUGGAAUGCGUAGAUAUCAGGAAGAACACCGAUGGCGAAGGCAGGCUACCAGCAGAUUACUGACGCUGAGGUGCGAAGGUGCGGGGAGCAAACA
This 207-nucleotide ribosomal RNA is filed under the name uncultured bacterium. Its description in RNAcentral is "partial 16S ribosomal RNA". It matches the Rfam family "Bacterial small subunit ribosomal RNA", at positions 568 to 774 of the family's 1533-position model. The record is from RNAcentral.